UUGAUAGGCCCAUUAGCCCACUAGUUUACUCGAUCUUCACUGAUAUGGACACGACUGACUGUUGUUGUGUAUAUGUGUUCCUUAUACAGACAACAAAGCGCAGAGGUGUUACUGCGGGCAUCGAUAUAGUUUCAUAGUUAUAGUUGGUCGUGUGAACGCAGGUCACUCAGACGUUAAUUUACUGUCGUUUGUAAGGCACAAGUGGAUCUAGGUUAAAGGGGCUGGUGGGAUUUUCCAUGACGGACUACAGAUGCGAAGUUGCAGGGUAACACCGGAUUUGCAGCCGCUUCGUUAAACAGCAAGGUGUUUGAUGAUGAUGACGAUGCUUCAUGCUUGAUUUAACUCAUCGACGCAUCAACUCCCUGCACGUACAGGGCCCCUAACCCCCGGUGCGACAGGCAUGUGCCCCGCCUCCGCGGACUGUCCGAGCCGGCGGACGCGCUGGAUCAGACAGCAGAGACUCACUGCUCUUCCCAUUUCAUUCAGCUGAACAUGCUGCAAAACAAUUAAAACAUUACCCGUAAUCUACCACAGUAACCGUAGACGAUUCCCUUUUGGGAAACGUACGUAACGUACUCGUCCGGGGUACGUAACCGAACAAGGAAAAAGCUGAGUUAUGAAUAGGAUUUAUAAUUGCUCUCCAUAAGACACUUUUAUACCAAUUAAAACUGAUUCUGCUGACUUUAAUUUUUACUCCCAGGCCGAGGUGGGAUGGCGA
Molecule: long non-coding RNA, 718 nt
Organism: Brienomyrus brachyistius
Lineage: Eukaryota; Metazoa; Chordata; Actinopteri; Osteoglossiformes; Mormyridae
Exons: 2
Source: RefSeq, a predicted model, not a curated record